This 1852-nucleotide long non-coding RNA is filed under the name Citrus maxima (pomelo). Its description in RNAcentral is "long non-coding RNA (CMAX_LNC001516)". Lineage: Eukaryota; Viridiplantae; Streptophyta; Magnoliopsida; Sapindales; Rutaceae. The record is from RNAcentral.
GAAAAUAAAAAAAUAACUAUAACGAUAGAUCAUCCAAUUUUACGACUCAGUUGUGGUGGCCAAAUGUUACCAUCCUCCAAAUAUCUCAAUAGAACUGCAAAUACAUCAAACAUGCUUAUUACAGUUUUACAAGGCCAAAAAUAAAAUUUCUAGGCCUUCAACACCCCCUUCCAGUGCCUUCUCUAGAACCAUUACGAAACUUCCAAUACCUUGUCAGCAACCAUCACCAGUGAUUACAUACCUCAUUCUUCUAAAUCCUAACACAACAUAAACAAACAAAAUACAAACAUGUUUAACCAUUGUAAACGUAAUAACUAACUUAUAUAACAAUAAAAAUUUACGCUAUAUAACUAUACAGCCUCCACAUCUGUUUCAAUCUAUGAUUCCUCGUCCACAAUCUUCACUUCUGCUGUACAGGUAGAUGCCACAGGUAUUAAAUAAAUACUAAUGAGACCACAAUUAAGUCAGUAGUACUUGCGUUUAACAAAUGAAUAUUUUAUAUUACAGUGUAAACCAUAUACCUCCACAACGAGCACACAUCCAUUAUUCAACUUUCACUACACAUCAUAGCCUCAACAUGCCUUGAUGAAUACACUACUUAUUGGACUCAAUGAAUUUAAAUAAUGUUGGUAUCAAUAACACCUCCACUAAUCAAUACAUAAACCAUAACUCACUUUACUAUCUUUUACUAACCAAAGCUCCAAUGCAAUAGUCCGCGUGUAUAUACCUAUAAACAAAUGAAUGCCCCCCAUCAAUUUUCGUUUCUUCAUCGAUUAUAAAGGCAUCCUACAGAAAAUUCGAACAAUUCACUUUUCUAACUUUUCCAUGCAAUCUCUUUCAAACCAAUCCUCUAUCUAACCAUAACUUUAAAUUUAUGCAAGUCUUUUCAUCUUAAAGCCGAUAAAUGUAUUAUGCGUGGCAAACAAAGACAAUUAUAUUAUACAUAUACUUAAAGUGAAUGACCAACCAAAGCACACGCCUCACUAACAAAGUGGUUACAGAUCGAACCACUAAUAUUAUGCCAUUUUUUCCAUUUGUUCUUCGGUGACUCUGUAUGUAUGUAAUUAACCAUUAUUUUUAUGCACCCACUGUCGAUAUUUACUAAUAUACAAUAAAAAAAUUACAUCUACACAAAGUAUGAGCCACCGAAAAUCAAAAGCAUCCAUUGAAACUAUGUUUCUUUCCUUAACAAUUAACCCAUAAAUAAGGUUUAACAUGUCAAUGAUUACCCCACUGCUCAAACCCCUUUACUGUAUUUAUUUCAACCCCUAUACUAUAUUUAUUUCAACCUGAGCAAACCCAGCCAUUCACCUCUUCGCAACCUAGGCAUUUCGAACACCACAUCUUCGAAAUCAACUACAAAAACGCAUUCACAAACAUGAAGCCUACCUAUGCAUGCGAAACGACUCUUCCAGUGCCUGCAAAAAUGCCAGAUUCAUAAUACCAACAAGGCCAUCUUCAAUAAUACAGACAUCAAUAGAAUAUAAUUUCAUAAAUCGGCAGCAACAUUUUUCUUACGGCAAAAUCAAAAUCACGACCACCAAAAAACACACAUUCAUUUACGAUUUAAGGAAAGAAUCUUUACCCUUCCUUGCCUAACGAAAUUUCCGGUUAUUCCCCUCUCUCGCAAAUGUCAGAUUUGAGAUUCAAAUUUGUUUCACAUCCUAUUCUUGUAUUUUUUUUUUUUCCAUGGACUUCAAGACCUUCAUUAGACAACCGGUUUAAACGGUUGUUGUUACUACCUGCGUCCGCUCUCCAAACUUUUAUUUAAACCGUUGGAUUGAACAUACUUAUAUCCAACGGCUUAACAGAAUAAAGACAAACCACAGUGGCACGGUGCCACUGUGGCACC